RNAcentral lists this ribosomal RNA (466 nucleotides) under uncultured bacterium. Its description in RNAcentral is "bacterial SSU rRNA". It matches the Rfam family "Bacterial small subunit ribosomal RNA", at positions 917 to 1382 of the family's 1533-position model. The record is from RNAcentral.
GGACUCGCACAAGCGGUGGAGCAUGCGGUUUAAUUCGAUGCAACGCGAAAAACCUUACCAGGUCUUGACAUCCCACUGACAGGUCUAGAGAUAGACCUUCUCUUCGCGGGGCAGUGGUGACAGGUGGUGCAUGGUUGUCGUCAGCUCGUGUCGUGAGAUGUUGGGUUAAGUCCCACAACGAGCGCAACCCUUAUCAUUAGUUGCUAACAUUAAGUUGAGAACUCUAAUGAGACCGCCGGUGAUAAACCGGAUGAAGGUGGGGAUGACGUCAAAUCAUCAUGCUCUUUAUGACCUGGGCUACACGCGUGCUACAAUGGCUAGUACAAAGAGUUGCAAUACCGUGAGGUGGAGCUAAUCUCAUAAAGCUAGUCUCAGUUCGGAUUGUAGUCUGCAACUCGACUACAUGAAGUUGGAAUCGCUAGUAAUCGCAAAUCAGCAUGUUGCGGUGAAUACGUUCUCGAGUCUU